GGCGGACGGGUGAGUAAUGUCUGGGAAACUGCCUGAUGGAGGGGGAUAACUACUGGAAACGGUGGCUAAUACCGCAUAACGUCGCAAGACCAAAGAGGGGGACCUUCGGGCCUCUUGCCAUCAGAUGUGCCCAGAUGGGAUUAGCUAGUUGGUGAGGUAACGGCUCACCAAGGCGACGAUCCCUAGCUGGUCUGAGAGGAUGACCAGCCACACUGGAACUGAGACACGGUCCAGACUCCUACGGGAGGCAGCAGUGGGGAAUAUUGCACAAUGGGCGCAAGCCUGAUGCAGCCAUGCCGCGUGUAUGAAGAAGGCCUUCGGGUUGUAAAGUACUUUCAGCGGGGAGGAAGGUGUUGUGGUUAAUAACCGCAGCAAUUGACGUUACCCGCAGAAGAAGCACCGGCUAACUCCGUGCCAGCAGCCGCGGUAAUACGGAGGGUGCAAGCGUUAAUCGGAAUUACUGGGCGUAAAGCGCACGCAGGCGGUCUGUCAAGUCGGAUGUGAAAUCCCCGGGCUCAACCUGGGAACUGCAUUCGAAACUGGCAGGCUUGAGUCUUGUAGAGGGGGGUAGAAUUCCAGGUGUAGCGGUGAAAUGCGUAGAGAUCUGGAGGAAUACCGGUGGCGAAGGCGGCCCCCUGGACAAAGACUGACGCUCAGGUGCGAAAGCGUGGGGAGCAAACAGGAUUAGAUACCCUGGUAGUCCACGCCGUAAACGAUGUCUACUUGGAGGUUGUGCCCUUGAGGCGUGGCUUCCGGAGCUAACGCGUUAAGUAGACCGCCUGGGGAGUACGGCCGCAAGGUUAAAACUCAAAUGAAUUGACGGGGGCCCGCACAAGCGGUGGAGCAUGUGGUUUAAUUCGAUGCAACGCGAAGAACCUUACCUGGUCUUGACAUCCACAGAACUUUCCAGAGAUGGAUUGGUGCCUUCGGGAACUGUGAGACAGGUGCUGCAUGGCUGUCGUCAGCUCGUGUUGUGAAAUGUUGGGUUAAGUCCCGCAACGAGCGCAAC
RNAcentral lists this ribosomal RNA (1009 nucleotides) under Salmonella enterica subsp. enterica serovar Saintpaul. RNAcentral's name for it is "bacterial SSU rRNA". It matches the Rfam family "Bacterial small subunit ribosomal RNA", at positions 97 to 1102 of the family's 1533-position model. The record is from RNAcentral. Lineage: Bacteria; Pseudomonadati; Pseudomonadota; Gammaproteobacteria; Enterobacterales; Enterobacteriaceae.